GUAGCGGAGCAUGUGGUUUAAUUCGAAGCAACGCGAAGAACCUUACCUAAGCUUGACAUCCCAAUGACAUCUCCUUAAUCGGAGAGUUCCCUUCGGGGACGUUGGUGACAGGUGGUGCAUGGUUGUCGUCAGCUCGUGUCGUGAGAUGUUGGGUUAAGUCCCGCAACGAGCGCAACCCUUGUCUUUAGUUGCCAUCAUUAAGUUGG
This 206-nucleotide ribosomal RNA is filed under the name Clostridioides difficile. RNAcentral describes it as "partial 16S ribosomal RNA". It matches the Rfam family "Bacterial small subunit ribosomal RNA", at positions 929 to 1134 of the family's 1533-position model. Lineage: Bacteria; Bacillati; Bacillota; Clostridia; Peptostreptococcales; Peptostreptococcaceae. The record is from RNAcentral.